CUGUAGACUGUGUAUCGUGAAUGUAGUAUGUGUAUUAAGUGCAGAGUGUGAAUAAUGACUGUAGGGAGUGUAUAGUGAUUGCAGAGUGUGUAUAGUGAAUGCAGUGAGUGUGUAUAGUGAAUGUAGUACGUGUAUAGUGAAUGUAGUACGUGUAUAGUGAGUGUAUAGUGAGUCUAGAGUGUGUAUAGUGAAUGUAGUAAGCUUGGAGUGCAGAGUGUGUAUAGUGAAUGUAAUGAAUAUAUAGUGAUUGCAGACUGUGUAUCGUGAAUGUAGUGUGUAUGUAGUGAGUGCAAAGUGUGUAUGGUGAAUUUAGUAUGUUUGUAGUGACUGCAGAGUGUGAAUAGUGAAUGUAGGGAGUGUAAAGUGACUGCAGAGUGUGUAUCAUAAAGGUUGGGUGUGUACUGAGUGUGUAUAGUGAAUGUGGUAAACUUGUAAUGAAUGCAGAGUGUGCAAAGUGAAUAUAGUGUGUUUGUAGUGAAUGCAGAGUGUGUAUAGAGAAUGGAGUGUGUUUG
Pelobates cultripes (western spadefoot toad) is the source of this 512-nucleotide non-coding RNA. The record is from the annotation of a GenBank genome assembly. Lineage: Eukaryota; Metazoa; Chordata; Amphibia; Anura; Pelobatidae.